Ostrinia furnacalis (Asian corn borer) is the source of this 1104-nucleotide long non-coding RNA. RefSeq lists it as uncharacterized. The record is from RefSeq and is a predicted model, not a curated record. NCBI's taxonomy places the organism in Eukaryota, Metazoa, Arthropoda, Insecta, Lepidoptera, Crambidae. The transcript has 3 exons.
GGAGACUGAAACUUUUGGGCCCUAAAUGUAACUAGUUGAUAUAUGGUCUAAAAAAAUGGUCAUAUUUUUCCAUACUAAACUACAAAAAAUCAGCCUAUUUUUCUUUCUGGAAACUGUGUAAUAAGAAAAACAAGAUUUUUAAGCAUUUACUAGUAAAUCGAUUAAAGAAGUAUCGAUUUAUGUAAAUGAGAUCACACAAUAAAAUAAAAAAGGCACGCUUGCUUUAUUUUAGGCGAAUUACGUAAACAAAAUAACUAAUUGCGUUGUUGCUAUAAAUAUAUUGAAUUAUUUUAGCUCAUAAAACAUUUAUUAAAUGAAUAAAAAAAAAACAUUUAGUUUAAUAAUCGAUUUUUAAUUUAAAUCGAUACUUUAAAAAAUCUGAUUUAGUCUGUGCACUGAAACUGACAGCUGCCUGUCUAUUUCUCUAUGGAUCACUCGUUUCGUAUUUUUCGUUUCGUGCGUGUGCGUUUCGAGUGCUUUUCCUCCUAUCUUUUUGUUUUUUCGCCGACCACUGCUUUGUUUUACGGAUUUUGACCCUACAUGCAUUGCCUGAACGACCCCUGCUUUCAACCUGGACUCUGGAUCUUGCUUACACGUCUGACUUGGAAUGUUUACUUUGGACUUUACUACCGGCUUAAGAACUGGAUAUUGACGCUAUGGAUCGCUGUGUAAAUUGUGGAAUAGACACUAGUCGCUGCAAUGCACUAGGCAGACGAUCCCUAAACGAUGAGUCUACUCUGCAUGUGAUUCAACAAUGGCUUGCACCUCAGACUGUUAAUAAUAGUGACUAUGUUUGCCAAGCAUGCUGGGACUUGGCUUAAAGCCGAUAUAAUGAUGAAGAAAGACAACUUGGCCACCAUAAUGUUUGUCUUCGCUGUGGACGUCCUCUUGCUUCAGCACGAGUUACUUAUUUACUCCACACUAACUCCCAUCGAGAACUGAGAAUAUAUAAUGUUAUACGAGAGUGGAUUACCUAUACCUCGAGCUGUACCCGAAGAUGGUUGCAUAUGUCAUACAUGCUGGGUGGCUGCAGACAGAGCUGCUGUCCAUAUGAUCUCAGGACCAUCAACUUCAUCCCGAGGAAUACCCCCUGAAGAAAUACAG